Molecule: long non-coding RNA, 5775 nt
Organism: Equus caballus (horse)
Lineage: Eukaryota; Metazoa; Chordata; Mammalia; Perissodactyla; Equidae
Source: Ensembl
GUUGAGGGUUAGGGCUAAUUUUAUAAGGCAUGGGUAUGUGAGUCAUCUCUUUACAAGACAAAGGAAAGAACAUGAAAAAAAGUUAAAAUGGUAUCAGUGCAGGUGGGGUCUGGUCAUUGGGUGAUCCCAUGACUUUUAGACAAGAAUCAAAUCGGAUUAAGUAAAGGUUAGAAAGGUUAGAAGCCACCACCCUAAAUCAGUUGCAUGAGAUUGCCAGACAGCAACCAACUUAAGUUCUUGCCUUCCCCAUUAAGAGUUUCUAGGGACAAGGUCAUCUCUCUUCUCCUUCCUGGUACAGAGAGGGAGGCACCUUUUACAGAUAGAGAUUUACCUUACAAAUGUAAAUGUGUCCCAACAAGGGCAAGUUCCGUUCCUCAGAGCCUCCUUCCCUGUCCCAAAACAAUCAGCCCCAAACAAUCCCGAUUCCAAAGAGACAUAUCCUGGGGUGGCCAAUUUCAGGUCCCUACAAGGUCAUCCCCACUUCCUUCACAAGUGCACAUAUCUCUGGAAGAGCAAGCAAAUUCCAGUCCUCAGAGCCUGCUUCUCAUCUACAGUUUUAAAAGUAACCAGCCUAAAAUCCUCAUCAUUUAUUGUUUAUGCUUUUAAGGUUAUUUACAUCUAUUGUGUCUGUGCAAAUACUAUAUAACGUUAUGCAGCUGCCCUGUUCUUCCCAAGUAUGCAUUCAGUGACAUCACUUUGGUACCUUGAAAUUGGCCACAGUGGGAACAUUUACACCGUGGAAACUGGCAAACACCAGAAAUCAGGGCUUGAGUUAUUGUUUUGUUGACUGUCUACACUUAGGAAAGUUAUGGAGAAAAUGUUAAUAAUGCACUUUAAACUUAAAUGUAUGUUGUGCCUGUAGCCAUUACAUUGUGAAUAGCACAGAAAAAUUGAGCAAAUGUUCUUUCAGUAUUCAAAAACUAUAUCUGAUUCAGUAAAGAAGUUGCUUACACCAUUGACAAAUGAGUGCAGUUCCCACAUGCAUCUUCAUUGUUUCACUUUUUUCUUAGUAGUUGGCACAAACGAAAAUAUCAGCCAACAUUUGUGUCAAAAGUGCACUCAUUUGUCAGUUACAAUUAUAGGUUGGUUAUGGAUUUAGCAGGUUGGUAAAAAUCAGUGAAAGUUUUCUGUAAGAUUCAAUUUGCUAUAUGCAAUUACAAUGAAGAAUAUUGUAUAUUUUAUUAUUUGUAAAUUGCUAAACAUUCUUUAUGUCAAUAAAAUUUAUAAUAAACUCAUAUCUGCGUAUAUAUGCAUACAUUUUCUCUCCAGAGGGCCUGUUGUUAGACAUUUAGCAGCACACCACAGGGCAGACUGCCUUAGGCUGAGGAGUGACCAGAGAUGUGACUUUGGAAGGAUUCCCAGAAGAGGGAGGGAAUCACUGAUGGAAAGAAGCUCCUAGCAAUGGAGCGAAGAGAGGCAGGUAAGUGGGGCUCAGGUGGAGGGUCAGCCCGGAGGAAGGAUGUAGGAGUGAGGAGAACCUGGAGGAGAAGGAAGCUGGGGGAGGAAGCUCGCCGUUUUCUCUGCCAAGUAGGAUGUAAGCCAUCUUCUGACGCGCGAGGGAGAGAAGAAGCGAAGAGCUGAGGCAGGGAGAAGGCUUGGCCUACGUGGCCAGUGAGGGGCAAAGAGAAGGGACCCGAGAGGAUGAGCCUGACUCAGAAAGACAGAAAACAACAACAGAAUCACAGCUGUGAGAGCUGGAAGGUGAGGUGUAAACCCGGUUCUGGCCCUGAGUCAAGCCCCGCAGUGUGGAUUGCUUUCUUAAUCUCCCAGGACAGUCCGAGGAGGAAACCGAGGUUUGGAGAGGUGAAGCCCUUUAUCCACGGCCCACAGCCAGUUAGUGGCAGAAGCAGGAUGCGAACUCAGGCAGCUGGGCUGUGUUGACAGGGCAGGAGCCUGCACAGCGCCUCUCUCCUUAGCAAAGCCCUGCAGACUAUGCAAAUUGGAACGGCUACAGAACAGAUUGGCAGGGCAGAGUACACGGGGGCUGGCCCCGUGGCCGAGUGGUUAAGUUCGCGCGCUCCACUGCAGGCGGCCCAGUGUUUCGUUGGUUCGAAUCCUGGGCGCGGACAUGGCACUGCUCAUCAGACCACGCUGAGGCGGCAUCCCACAUGCCACAACUAGAAGGACCCACAACGAAGAAUGUACAACUAUGUACUGGGGGGCUUUGGGGAGAAAAAGGAAAAAAUAAAAUCUUUAAAAAAAAAAAAGUAAAGUACAUGACAGUUUGGAAAUUUACAGAAUCGGUCCUUCGCCUGAGAACAUUUGGUCAGCACUGACCUAAUGCCCCUUCUGAUCGGGUUGCUCCCCUGCUGGGAACCCUCCGUGAUCCCCACUGGCUACAGCAGAGGUUCCAAAGGGUGGGCGGGGACCAAUUCGUGGGUAGGAGCUUAAUUUAGUGAGUCAUUACCAGCGUUAAAACAAGAAAAGAACUGGGGUGAAAGAGAAAAUAUUGGAGUAUAUCACAUCUAGUAAAUACAUUAUUUUGGCUGUGUACAGUCUCGCGUCGCUUAACGACAGGGAUGCGUUCUGAGAAAUGCGUCGCUAGGCAGUUUCAUUGUCAAACAUCAUAGAGUGCACUUACACAAACCUAGAUGGUAUAGCCCACUACACACCUAGGCUGUAUGGUACACAUCUUAUGGGACCACCAACGUAUAUGCCAUCUGUCACUGACCAAAACAUCAUUAUGCAGUGCAUGUGUAUGUCACGUGCCGUAUACUCACAUAUAUUUAUUUUUGGUAUUUCAUAUAUUUUUGGUAUUUCAUAUAUUAUAAUGCAUGUAUGUACCGGAAUUUGAUGAAAAAUGUCUUCCACCGGUCUACUGGAUAAAGAUGGCACUGCCAGGCCUGCCACUGGAAGCCAUGGAAGAGAGAGCAAUUGCUGAGGAAGAGCAGGCACCACUUUCCAGGGAAAGGGUGAGGGUGAGCUGGUUUGGAGGAUGUCCAGGUUGUGAACGAACAGAGGGAAGGACAUGAGCAGAGACCCAGAAAGACGACGACUUUCAAGCCUCGAUUGUGUCGGUGCUCCAACUCAGAAUGGGUCUGAGGGGCCGGCCCGGUGACACAGCAGUUAAGUGCACAUGUUCCACUUCCCUGGCCCUAAGUUUACCGGUUCAGAUCCCGGGUGCGGACAUGGCACUGCUUGACAAGCCAUACUGUGGUAGGCGUCCCACAUAUAAAGUAGAGGAAGAUGGGCAUGGAUGUUAGCUCAGGGCCAGUCUUCCUCAGCAAAAAGAGGAGGAUUGGCAGCAGAUGUUAGCUCAGGGCUAAUCUUCCUCAAAAAGAAAAAAAGAGAGAGAAUGGGUCUGACGUGGCCUCUGGGAGCUUGCAGGUUGUGUGAGGGCUGUAGUCCCUGUGAUGGGAGUUUAGAGGAGGGAGUCCCUAAGUCUGCUGGGGAAGUCAAAGGAGACUUCAAGAGGUGGCAAUGCCUUAGCUGACUUCUUUUUUUUCUCUUCUUCUCCCCAAAGCCCCCAGUACAUAGUUGUAUAUUCUAGUCCUGAGUCCCUCUGGUUGUGCUGUGUGGGAUGCUGCCCCAGCAUGACCAGAUGAGCGGUGCCAUGUCCGCACCCAGGUUCCAAACCGGCAAAACCCUGGGCGGCUGAAGCAGAGCUCGUAAACCCAAUCACUUGGCCACGGGGCCAGCCCCUUUUUUUAACAUUAAUUUUAAUUUAAUUUAAUUUUUUUCCUAGCUGACUUCUGAGGGAAGAGUUGGGGUUCGCCAGGGGAACAGGGGUGUGGGGAAGGCUUGUCUGGCCAAGCGAGUGGCUUGUGAAAAGGCACGAGAAAGCCCGUCAUGUUUGGGGGAAGUGUUUAGUAUAUGUAGAAGCAUUCAGUAUAGGUAGAGCAUGAACUAGGGAGGGGGCCUUCACGUGCCGUGUUGAGAGUCAGGAUGUCAUUGUGGCAUGGGAAGCCGUGGAGGAAUUUUCAGCAGAAGAAUGACGAGUAGACUUACAUCUCAGGACUCCGGCAGCCCUGAGGAGAGUGGAUUAACAGGGAGGAGGCAGGAGGCCACAGACCUGUAGGAUGACUAUCGCAAUAGUUGGGCCUGAAGUAGGGCAGUGCGGGUGCAGCGGGAGGCGGGAGGGAGCCUCAGGAGGAGGGGCCCACAGAACGCAGCCACUCAUCAAUCAAUUGGAUGGGCAGUGAGAGAAGGGAGGAGGUGAGGAUGAGUUCAGGGUUGUUGACUCGGGAAACUGGCUAGAUGAUAGUGCCUUUUGCCCAGAUAAAGAACACGGUGGGGGGCAGAGCGGGUCUGGGGAGAAGAUAACGCAUUUAAUCCUGAAAGUGGCCCUUGUAGGUGGACAUGGCAAUGGGCAGCUGGAGCAGCGGAGAGAGGUUAGGCGGGGGGAUACAGCCCGGGGAGCAUGUAGAAUGAGAGAGAAAAGGCUGUAGAGGGAGCCUCAGGGAGAAAGGAGUCCAGGAAAGACUGAGGAGAGUGGUCUUUGAGGCACAGAAUCCGGAAACUUGGGUCACAAGAGCCAGUGGGGUGGAAAGGACGUAGGAGGAAAAGCAGCAAUGCAAAUGCUUCAGGAAAUCAAAUUCUCUGAAGGGCCCGUGGGAUGUGGCCAUUGGGAGGCAACUGAUGCCCUUGGGAAGGGUACAGCGGAGGGUGGUGGGGGCAGAACCAGGGGCUUUGGGGGCGAGUGGAGAUGACACAGUGAGGCAAAGAGGAAGCAGGGCUGUGUCUAGACCAUGUGAUGCCUUUGUGCGAAUUAGACAGGGGUGCCCCUUCCUCUGGGCAGAUCAGUCCCUCAUCCCAGCAUGCUGGCUGGGCGAGGGAGGGAUGCGGGCGGGACCUCAGCCCCACAUGGCUCAUAGUGGGGCAUCUGCAUGCCACAGUCCUGCAAGAGUGGACAAGCCCUUCUGGAAACUGACCUGGAAGGAAGGAGAGAAGUAGUCAUUGACCAAGGGGGCUGCUGGACCAUGUGAGGGGUUUAUUUAAGAUGUGAGAGCCUGGUGCGUGCUGACUCGGAUGAGAGAGGGGAAUCCCUGAGGAAAAAGAGUACAGGACAGGGAGACCUGCAACAAGAAGCUGCGUGGGAGCCCAGGCCGGAGUGGGCACGCCUCUGAUGUGCUGGGAGCCAGGACAAGGCCGGUGCGGCUCCCAGGGUUGUUGCGGGAGGGGGCGGAGGCUGAAGGAGAGCAGGGCUGUGCACGCAGCCUGGAGCCCUGGGCUGGUGUGCAGGCAAGAGUUAGAUGUGAAUCUCUGAGGUGAGGCGUGGGAGAAGACGCUGAGCAGGGACACAGACACAGCUGAGAAGCCCUGUCCUAGGUGACCAGCAGUUCCCAUGCCCAAGACUGGGUGACAUGCAGCCUGCCCAGGCAGCGAGCCUAGAGCUAGGCAGGCCAGGCUGGGGAGGGUGUUGGCAAAGAGAUUUUGUUUACUUAUUAUUUUACUUUUUACUAUGGAAAAUUUUCAAACAUCUAAAAGUCGUGGGAAACGCAAAUGAAAUCAUUUGGCUUCAAUAAUUAUUACUAAUGUCAAUGUUAUUUUAUGAUCUCCCUUUUAAGUAUCUUUUUAAAAACUUAAAACAAUCUUUUAACAGACUGUUUUAGAGCAGUUUUAGGUUCAGAGCAAAACUGAAUGGAAGGUACAGAGAUUUCCCAUAUAUAUCUGGUUAAAAACUUUUUUAUUUGGAAUUAAUUUUAAGCUUACAGAAAAUUGCAAGAACUACUCUUUUUAUUUUAUAUAAUAUUUUUCUUAUUAGAGAAUCUAUUCUCAGAAUGUAUACAGAAGAAAAUUGAGAUCAUUCAGGAUUCUACCACCUGAAAAUAGCUA